This 309-nucleotide ribosomal RNA is filed under the name uncultured bacterium. Its description in RNAcentral is "partial 16S ribosomal RNA". It matches the Rfam family "Bacterial small subunit ribosomal RNA", at positions 504 to 808 of the family's 1533-position model. The record is from RNAcentral.
AGAGACAGCAGCAGCCACGGUAAUACGUAGGUGGCAAGCGUUGUCCGGAAUUAUUGGGCGUAAAGGGCUCGCAGGCGGUUUCUUAAGUCUGAUGUGAAAGCCCCCGGCUCAACCGGGGAGGGUCAUUGGAAACUGGGAAACUUGAGUGCAGAAGAGGAGAGUGGAAUUCCACGUGUAGCGGUGAAAUGCGUAGAGAUGUGGAGGAACACCAGUGGCGAAGGCGACUCUCUGGUCUGUAACUGACGCUGAGGAGCGAAAGCGUGGGAGCGAACAGGAUUAGAUACCCCGGUAGUCCCUGUCUCUUAUACC